Molecule: ribosomal RNA, 429 nt
Filed under: uncultured prokaryote
Also listed under: 1 other name
Description: bacterial SSU rRNA
Rfam family: Bacterial small subunit ribosomal RNA
Source: RNAcentral
CUAAGAAUAUUCCGCAAUGGAGGAAACUCUGACGGAGCGACGCCGCGUGGAUGAGGAAGGCCGGAAGGUUGUAAAAUCCUUUUAAGUAUGAGGAAUAAGUUAUGUAGGAAAUGACAUAAUGGUGACUGUAGUACUUGAAUAAGCAACGGCUAAUUACGUGCCAGCAGCCGCGGUAACACGUAAGUUGCGAGCGUUGUUCGGAAUUAUUGGGCGUAAAGGGCAUGUAGGCGGUUAUGUAAGCUUGAUGUGAAAGGCAGGAGCUUAACUCCUGGACUGCGUUGAGAACUGCAUAACUGGAGUCACUGAGGGGCAGGCAGAAUUCCAGGUGUAGGGGUGAAAUCUGUAGAUAUCUGGAAGAAUACCAAUGGCGAAGGCAGCCUACCAGCAGAUGACUGACGCUGAGGUGCGAAGGUGUGGGGAGCAAACAGG